AGAACCAGGGCCUCGGCCCUGGGGAAAGCGGUUGUUGCCCUGAGUAACACGUGGAUAAUCAACCCCCGACACUGGGAUAGCCCGGGGAAACCCGGAUUAAUACCGGAUGCCCCAUCCGGCCUUCGGGCCGGCUGGAAAAGGGUAGCUUCGGCCUCCGGUCGGGGACGAGCCCGCGGCGGAUUAGCUUGUUGGUGAGGUAACGGCUCACCAAGGCUAAGAUCGGUAGCCGGUCUGAGAGGAUGAUCGGUCUUACUGGAACUGAUACCCGGUCCAGACUCCUACCCGAGGCAUCAGUGGGAUCUUGC
Molecule: ribosomal RNA, 305 nt
Filed under: uncultured bacterium
Lineage: Bacteria
Description: bacterial SSU rRNA
Rfam family: Bacterial small subunit ribosomal RNA
Source: RNAcentral